CUACAGGCUUAACACAUGCAAGUCGAGGGGUAGCAGGGUAGCAGUACCGCUGACGACCGGCGCACGGGUGAGUAACACGUAUCCAACCUUCCCAUAACUCGGGGAUAGCCUUUCGAAAGAAAGAUUAAUACCCGAUAGUACUUUUUUAGGGCAUCUUAGAAAAGUUAAAGAUUUAUUGGUUAUGGAUGGGGAUGCGUUCCAUUAGAUAGUUGGUGAGGUAACGGCUCACCAAGUCUUCGAUGGAUAGGGGUUCUGAGAGGAAGGUCCCCCACAUUGGUACUGAGACACGGACCAAACUCCUACGGGAGGCAGCAGUGAGGAAUAUUGGUCAAUGGGCGAGAGCCUGAACCAGCCAAGUAGCGUGAAGGAUGACGG
Molecule: ribosomal RNA, 375 nt
Filed under: uncultured Bacteroidales bacterium
Lineage: Bacteria; Pseudomonadati; Bacteroidota; Bacteroidia; Bacteroidales
Description: bacterial SSU rRNA
Rfam family: Bacterial small subunit ribosomal RNA
Source: RNAcentral